Molecule: long non-coding RNA, 526 nt
Organism: Daphnia carinata
Lineage: Eukaryota; Metazoa; Arthropoda; Branchiopoda; Diplostraca; Daphniidae
Exons: 3
Source: RefSeq, a predicted model, not a curated record
GAUAACAACAAAACUAAGGAUGGUAGGGCCAAAUACCUAAUGAUUGUAUUUGUGUUUUUUAGCUGAAAUUUUGAGUCUAUCAGCUCAGUUACUGUAAAAAACAAAACAAAUUAGAACGGGACACUUUCCAAACAGUGAAGGAGGUUUUUCCAAACUCAUCCCUAACUGAACGUGAGGAUGAGUUGGCAUUAGGCGAACACAGACAGUGAUUCAGUCCACCACCUGACAGUGUGUUAAAUUUAAAUUCUGUUAGUGUUGCACUAAAAGAAUCGUUAGUAAUAAGUCCAUGCAGCGAAGGAAAUGAACAAUUGUGGGAUCGUAUUUGGGCCGAAAGUGGGUGUGGUACGAAAACCCAGAAAUGGCAUGAGUUCAACAUAAAACAUGGAUUAGAAUUUUAGUGGGGGAUCAAGUCAAGUCUGGAAGUGUUACAGGAUGGAAGAGUGAGCCUACAGUUGAAAAAACACAGAGUGCAUUACCAUUAAGGUAUGAGGUAAAGUAAUAGAGUAUGCAAAUUGUCUAAUGACAG